GUCGUACCCCAAUUUUGUCCGGGCAUUUUUAAUUUUUUCAAAAUUAAUUUCAGUUUCAUUUUUGCAUCGUAUACAUACCAUUACAUACAUUGCAUCAUGAAUAAAACACCUAAAAUGUCAGUCAGAUUGGACUUCUUUGAAGAUACAGAAAAAUCGGUUGAAUCGUCGAAUUUGAGGAAAAUACUGUAUUUUUAAUAAGUAUGGUUUGUCUUGACAAUUUUAGUGUGACCAGUUCUUUUUGUACUCAAUUUCUAUUUUUUAACUGGUCAAAUAUUUAAAUUUUAGUUAAUUUAAACAAUUAGUUUUUUAUAUUAGUUAGAUUUUUUCUCAAAUAGCAGUUAAUUUUAGUUUUUAAAUAUUAAUUAGUUUUUUAUAUUAGUUAGAUUUUGUAAAAUAUUAGUUAGAGUAUUUUUUUUUUAAUAUUAAUUAGUUUUUCUAAAUAUUAGUUAGUUUUCAAAUAUUAGUUAGAUUUUUUCUUUUUAACAGUUAAUUAGUUUUUUAGUGUUAAUUAGUUUAAGCGUUAGUUAAUUUUUUUUUUUUAGUUAAUUUUUAAUAAUAGUUAGUUAGAAUUUUUAAAAUAUUAAUUAGUUUUAUUUAUUUAAUAAUUAUAUAUAAAUAUUACAUUGGAUUCCCCAAUCCAUAAAAAACAAAAAAAAGAGAAAAAAAAAUCUCCCAACG
Molecule: long non-coding RNA, 678 nt
Filed under: Lathyrus oleraceus (garden pea)
Lineage: Eukaryota; Viridiplantae; Streptophyta; Magnoliopsida; Fabales; Fabaceae
Description: Pisum sativum (pea) long non-coding RNA (PSAT_LNC030489)
Source: RNAcentral